GCGGAUGUAGCUCAGUUGGUAGAGCGUCGGACUGAAAAUCCGAAGGUCACAGGUUCGAAUCCUGUUGUUCGCA
This 73-nucleotide transfer RNA is filed under the name Flectobacillus roseus. RNAcentral describes it as "tRNA-Phe". It matches the Rfam family "tRNA". Rfam says of the family: Transfer RNA (tRNA) molecules are approximately 80 nucleotides in length. Their secondary structure includes four short double-helical elements and three loops (D, anti-codon, and T loops). The record is from RNAcentral. Lineage: Bacteria; Pseudomonadati; Bacteroidota; Cytophagia; Cytophagales; Flectobacillaceae.